AUGGAUAGUUCCACGUCCCUGGAAAGAUUCAGAAGAUGGUUGGUGCUGAUGGCUGUCCAGAGGGAGCUUCUCAACAUGCUUUCAGGUGAGUUGAAGACCAAGAAUAAAUUAUACACAGACCUUGAUCUGGAUGGAAGGGACAGAAAAAUAAAUAAAAUAAAAUAAACAACCUGUAAGCAUGAAAUUAAUUCCAGUUUAAAUCCCAUAUGAUGUAACUCUGUUCAUUAGCACGUUUCUGUAUCUUAGUGACCAAUUUCUAUUGGUGCGGAGAUCUGGAAUCUAAACUUUGUUUCCUCCAGGCCUUCUACUUCAGUAGUUUAGAUGUGCUACUUUCAUAACUAAGUAAACGUUCUCUAGUGGACAAGUGACUUUUCCAUCUAUUUCUUUGACUUAAGCUUGUAGGUUAUGUGGGAAGGAAAGUUGAAGGAAAAAAGGCUAACUCGAUCCAAGAAGAAAAUGACUAAUUUGGGAUGCAGAAAGAGUCUGUCUUGUUGAACUUCUAGGGAAAAGUAGCCCACUUUUUUUAUAUAAAGAAAUUCCCUCCAUAUAUAAUGGACAGAGUUUUCUCUAAUGUAAAAUUAUCCCCUAUGCUCAUGAUAACCAUGCCUGAGCAAUUUUUUUUCUAAGCUAUUUUAAAUGGCAUGUAAUUAUUAUCACCAAUUGUAAAUGGAUCCUAAGUCCCAAGGUGGGUUAUAUAGGGAUAUAUAUUCAGAGAAAGCUUGCAACAAGUAUUAAAAAAAAAAAAAAAAAGAAAAAAAAAAAAAGGAGAGCAAAGACAUGGAAAAUAGUUCAUUGUAAAUCUUGCAGCUCUUUAGAGUUUCCAACACUGUAGUGCUAUGAACUUUCUACUUGAUUUUUUUAAUUUGUUAGCAAAUAUUCAGAUAUAGCUGCAUAGUAAACACUUGGACUGGUCCCUGGAAAUACUCUUUUUCGAUGUAGUUUAUUAGGCAGUAAUUUACAGAAGUAAAUAUCACAAGGAAUAACCCAGCACUGUCAGAGGGGAAAAAUAAAGUAGGUGACCUGCUAGGCA
RNAcentral lists this long non-coding RNA (1030 nucleotides) under Anas platyrhynchos platyrhynchos (common mallard). RNAcentral's name for it is "lncRNA (ENSAPLG00000030512.1)". Lineage: Eukaryota; Metazoa; Chordata; Aves; Anseriformes; Anatidae. The record is from RNAcentral.